AUUGAACGCUGGCGGCAUGCCUAACACAUGCAAGUCGAACGGAAACGAUGGGAGCUUGCUCCCAGGCGUCGAGUGGCGGACGGGUGAGUAAUACUUAGGAAUCUGCCCAUUAGUGGGGGACAACAUUCGGAAACGGAUGCUAAUACCGCAUACGCCCUACGGGGGAAAGCGGGGGAUCUUCGGACCUCGCGCUAAUGGAUGAGCCUAAGUCGGAUUAGCUUGUUGGUGAGGUAACGGCUCACCAAGGCGACGAUCCGUAGCUGGUCUGAGAGGACGAUCAGCCACACUGGGACUGAGACACGGCCCAGACUCCUACGGGAGGCAGCAGUGGGGAAUAUUGCACAAUGGGCGCAAGCCUGAUGCAGCAAUGCCGCGUGUGUGAAGAAGGCCUGCGGGUUGUAAAGCACUUUCAGUAGAGAAGAAAAGCCUACGGUUAAUACCCGUGAGUCUUGACGUAACCUACAGAAGAAGCACCGGCUAACUCCGUG
RNAcentral lists this ribosomal RNA (488 nucleotides) under uncultured bacterium. Its description in RNAcentral is "bacterial SSU rRNA". It matches the Rfam family "Bacterial small subunit ribosomal RNA", at positions 30 to 507 of the family's 1533-position model. The record is from RNAcentral.